This 504-nucleotide ribosomal RNA is filed under the name uncultured bacterium. RNAcentral's name for it is "bacterial SSU rRNA". It matches the Rfam family "Bacterial small subunit ribosomal RNA", at positions 37 to 573 of the family's 1533-position model. The record is from RNAcentral.
UGGCGGCGUGCCUAACACAUGCAAGUCGAACGAGAAAGUGGAGCAAUCCAUGAGUACAGUGGCGUACGGGUGAGUAACACGUGACUAACCUACCCUCGAGUGGGGAAUAACUUCGGGAAACCGAGGCUAAUACCGCAUAAUGUCUACGGACCAAAUGCGCAAGCAGCUUGAGGAGGGGGUCGCGGCUGAUUAGCUUGUUGGCGGGGUAACGGCCCACCAAGGCAAUGAUCAGCAGCCGGCCUGAGAGGGCGCACGGCCACACUGGAACUGAAACACGGUCCAGACUCCUACGGGAGGCAGCAGUGGGGAAUUUUGCGCAAUGGGGGAAACCCUGACGCAGCAACGCCGCGUGGAGGAUGAAGCCCCUUGGGGUGUAAACUCCUUUCGAUCGGGACGAUUAUGACGGUACCGGAUGAAGAAGCACCGGCUAACUCUGUGCCAGCAGCCGCGGUAAUACAGAGGGUGCAAGCGUNGUUCGGAAUUAUUGGGCGUAAAGGGUGCGUA